This 301-nucleotide ribosomal RNA is filed under the name uncultured bacterium. RNAcentral's name for it is "partial 16S ribosomal RNA". It matches the Rfam family "Bacterial small subunit ribosomal RNA", at positions 509 to 807 of the family's 1533-position model. The record is from RNAcentral.
CAGUCGCCGCGGUAAUACGGAGGGCGCGAGCGUUACCCGGAUUUACUGGGCGUAAAGGGCGUGUAGGCGGCCUGGGGCGUCCCAUGUGAAAGGCCACGGCUCAACCGUGGAGGAGCGUGGGAUACGCUCAGGCUAGAGGGUGGGAGAGGGUGGUGGAAUUCCCGGAGUAGCGGUUAAAUGCGCAGAUACCGGGAGGAACGCCGAUGGCGAAGGCAGCCACCUGGUCCACUUCUGACGCUGAGGCGCGAAAGCGUGGGGAGCAAACCGGAUUAGAUACCCGGGUAGUCCCUGUCUCUUAUAC